AUGCCCUUUUUUCUUUCUUUUAAAUAGGUGCCCAAGGGAGUUUUGGAUAAGGAGGAAGCCUUAUCUAAUAAGGCUUGGGAAGGGGCAUCCAACUCUUGGAUAUCUCCCUCUUUUGUUUCACACAAAUACAAUAGAAACAAGGGGUGCAUGGGCUGAAGAUUGGCAUGAGAAAUCUCAUGCUAAAAAUAAAGAAGGGACGCAUGAAGACAUGCUUUGGCAUGGGCUUGGUGGAUGCAAGG
Molecule: long non-coding RNA, 239 nt
Filed under: Elaeis guineensis (African oil palm)
Lineage: Eukaryota; Viridiplantae; Streptophyta; Magnoliopsida; Arecales; Arecaceae
Description: long non-coding RNA (EGUI_LNC017692)
Source: RNAcentral